CUCUGAAAAAUCCCUUGUGUAUUUGUCAAGGUAUGAUUGUGUUGCCCACUGCAAAUACUAGAUUCUUGCACAUAGAGGUAAAAGGCUAAGUUAAACAGUUGUCUUCAUCAUUGUUGCUCUUCUUUAGACUCUAACAAUUGGCUCCCACCCCAUUUCUUGUCUCUAAAAUGCCAGCAAUGAUACAUUAUUGCUAGGGACAAAUCAAAAGAGGUUUAUUACCAACAAGUGUGUGCUGUUCGUGUGGAACACCUGGCUUUAAAAUUAUUCAAUGACGAAGCUGUUCAAAGCUGUGGUGAAGUGAAAAAAA
This 307-nucleotide unclassified non-coding RNA is filed under the name Nothobranchius furzeri (turquoise killifish). RNAcentral describes it as "partial intergenic spacer". Lineage: Eukaryota; Metazoa; Chordata; Actinopteri; Cyprinodontiformes; Nothobranchiidae. The record is from RNAcentral.